UAAAAUACAAAUCUCUAGCUAAUCUGUCACAGUUUAAUUAUCUUGAAUUGCCCAUCUUUUGUUACAGAACUAUGCUUAUUGGUAUAAUAUUUGCUGUGUUCUAGGAUGGUUACCAAGCAAACCAGGCGUCAAAUUUCCAACGUUUCAAAAUGUUAAUUCCCUGAAACCAUCUUUUACUGAAGCAACAUCUUGUCAUGGUCGGGAUGAGUGCAGUGUUUUUCCAUAGCCCUAGGGCUCCACCUCAGGCCAGAGUCUCCAUUAAGCCAUCUCACCUGUCUGCAAUCAAGCUACCCGUAUUUAAGACCAGAAUACUCAGAAGUUCUCCAUCAGAUCUACAGCUAACCAGUUCUGGUUACGCUCACUUCCCCGCUGCACUCCACCUGCCUGCCUCCCUGCCACAGCUUCUGGAGCAGUACAUUUUGGAUUCACUCAGGAGUGAAACCUCACCCAGACCUUUGGACUGCCCUCCUUCCACGCCGUACUCCACCUGCAACCUUGACUCUGCACUUCUCCGCCCGUGUGACAGCCCCUUCUUCACCCAUUGGACCACUUUCAUGGACUUUUGAAUUUAACAUUAGUUCACAAAUUACGCUUCUCGUUUCUGGUUUAGUCUCAUAGUUCACAGUUCAUCGUCGAUACCUUAAAAGUAUAGGCAUAGUUCACAGUUUAUAGUUGUCACCUUAAAGUCUUGUCUCACUUGUAAAGUAAAGCACUGUUUUCACAUCUACUUGUGCCUCUGUCUGUGUCUGGCCUAUAAGUCCUUGCACCUAGUCCGACCUCUCAGU
This is a long non-coding RNA of Oreochromis niloticus (Nile tilapia), 785 nucleotides long. RefSeq lists it as uncharacterized. Lineage: Eukaryota; Metazoa; Chordata; Actinopteri; Cichliformes; Cichlidae. The record is from RefSeq and is a predicted model, not a curated record. The transcript has 3 exons.